AUGCAGCAAUUAUUGAAUCAAUAAAAUAAAAUACUGAACAGUAAUUACUGUAACAAUUAUUGAGUAGUGCCUUCUUACCUAAGAAUCAAUAAUUGGUGCAAUACCGUGUACUACUGUUCAACAACGCGUAUUAGUGUGUUUUAACCUCCGGGUAUUCCAACAGUAUUAACGGUAACAACUACGUCGUUAUUUAUAAAUAACUUAUAUUUGUCGUUUUCGUCAUCCAAUCACUUUCCGUUAUGGGGCCCAC
Molecule: long non-coding RNA, 250 nt
Filed under: Panax ginseng (ginseng)
Lineage: Eukaryota; Viridiplantae; Streptophyta; Magnoliopsida; Apiales; Araliaceae
Description: long non-coding RNA (PGIN_LNC016762)
Source: RNAcentral